This 433-nucleotide ribosomal RNA is filed under the name uncultured bacterium. RNAcentral's name for it is "partial 16S ribosomal RNA". It matches the Rfam family "Bacterial small subunit ribosomal RNA", at positions 29 to 507 of the family's 1533-position model. The record is from RNAcentral.
AACGAACGCUGGCGGCAUGCCUAACACAUGCAAGUCGAACGAUGCUUUCGGGCAUAGUGGCGCACGGGUGCGUAACGCGUGGGAAUCUGCCCUUGGGUUCGGAAUAACAGUGAGAAGUUGCUGCUAAUACCGGAUGAUGUCUUCGGACCAAAGAUUUAUCGCCCAGGGAUGAGCCCGCGUAGGAUUAGCUAGUUGGUGGGGUAAUGGCCUACCAAGGCGACGAUCCUUAGCUGGUCUGAGAGGAUGAUCAGCCACACUGGGACUGAGACACGGCCCAGACUCCUACGGGAGGCAGCAGUGGGGAAUAUUGGACAAUGGGCGCAAGCCUGAUCCAGCAAUGCCGCGUGAGUGAUGAAGGCCUUAGGGUUGUAAAGCUCUUUUACCCGGGAUGAUAAUGACAGUACCGGGAGAAUAAGCUCCGGCUAACUCCGUG